RNAcentral lists this ribosomal RNA (254 nucleotides) under uncultured bacterium. RNAcentral's name for it is "partial 16S ribosomal RNA". It matches the Rfam family "Bacterial small subunit ribosomal RNA", at positions 524 to 776 of the family's 1533-position model. The record is from RNAcentral.
UACGGGGGGAGCAAGCGUUGUUCGGAUUUACUGGGCGUAAAGGGCGCGUAGGCGGCCACCGCAAGUCGACUGUGAAAUCUCCGGGCUUAACCCGGAAAGGUCAGCCGAUACUGCGGGGCUAGAGUGCAGAAGGGGCAACUGGAAUUCUCGGUGUAGCGGUGAAAUGCGUAGAUAUCGAGAGGAACACCUGCGGCGAAGGCGGGUUGCUAGGCUGACACUGACGCUGAGGCGCGAAAGCUAGGGGAGCGAACGGG